AUGAAUGGCAAUCUUGCAGCUGGCCAACAACUAGGAGUUGGUGGUGAAUGUGCCAACGUAGCCGAAACCCAUGACGACAAAUGCAAAUGCUUGAAGGUAGAUGUACACAUAGUAGUAGUUCACUCCGAAGGUAACAUUGUAGGAAGCACAGCACAUGAGGAAGACCGCAAACCCGAGCUGCAAGAAGCUCACCCUGAGAUCCAAAAAGAGAUGGUAAUGUUGAUAUGGUAUUCGUUUGCAUCUCCAGAAGCUAUGUAACAUUUGCUUACCUGUCUCUUAUGAAGCUUGUUCUUGUGGAUUCUGCAACAUUGGUUUCCAUCUUCUCUUUCAGGGUGUCUCCAAGCUUCUGUGUCACAACCCAUUCAUUUACGCUUGCUGUCUCCAGUAGACCGAUCAAGGCUGCUUUCAUCCGGUGCAUGGACAUGACGUUCUCAAACAAAAUCCAGAAUGGCAUUAUGUGAAGGGAGCUGCGACGAAGAGAGGGCAUAUCAGGGAAGAAAGUUCUGAUCAAGGGGUAUGUUCAUCAGUAAAGAUUGAUACCUGGGAUUUCUGAUGGCAUUGAGAACGGUAAUUGUUGUAGGGAUGUAGACCACCCCCCAUAUCGGAAUGCUUACUUCUGGUACUACAACUGAUACUGGAAUCACGAUGCAGUAGAAUGCAAAGGUGACGAUCGGCGCCACAACUCUUCUAACAAAGAAGAAACUGUAGAUCACAUGGAUUUUCUUCAACAGGGAUACCUCCUGCUCCAUAACAAAGAGACAAGUCUCAGGGAAGUAAGAUCGACCGAUGUAUGCUUGUUUACUUGAAGAAGGCUUCUGCUACCUUUGCGAGUACAAUGUCGCGUGCCAUUUUUCUAAAUAAGUUGGCAGCUCCACAGGUCCAUCGAUGCUGUUGAUGUCGGUAAGCCUUGAAGGUACUUGGGAGUUCGCUUCUG
RNAcentral lists this long non-coding RNA (934 nucleotides) under Musa acuminata (dwarf banana). RNAcentral describes it as "long non-coding RNA (MACU_LNC006110)". Lineage: Eukaryota; Viridiplantae; Streptophyta; Magnoliopsida; Zingiberales; Musaceae. The record is from RNAcentral.